This 29-nucleotide non-coding RNA is filed under the name Bombyx mori (domestic silkworm). Lineage: Eukaryota; Metazoa; Arthropoda; Insecta; Lepidoptera; Bombycidae. The record is from RNAcentral.
UACAACAGGACGGGCAUCGCCCAGCCGUU